Molecule: transfer RNA, 75 nt
Filed under: Opitutus sp.
Lineage: Bacteria; Pseudomonadati; Verrucomicrobiota; Opitutia; Opitutales; Opitutaceae
Also listed under: 2 other names
Description: tRNA-Gly
Rfam family: tRNA
About the family: Transfer RNA (tRNA) molecules are approximately 80 nucleotides in length. Their secondary structure includes four short double-helical elements and three loops (D, anti-codon, and T loops).
Source: RNAcentral
GCGGGCAUAGUAUACCGGCUAUUAUGUGUGCUUCCCAAGCAUGAGAAGAGGGUUCGACUCCCUCUGCCCGCACCA